CUGCUAUUGGGAUUCGACUAAGCCAUGCGAGUCUAUGGUUUCGGCCAUGGCGGACGGCUCAUUAACACGUGGUUAACAUACCCUCAGGUGGGGGAUAACCUUGGGAAACUGAGGAUAAUACCCCAUAGAAAAAGCAGUCUGGAACGAUUCUUUUUCGAAAGCAUAUGCGCCUGAGGAUUGGACUGCGCUCGAUUAGGUAGUUGGUGGGGUAAUGGCCCACCAAGCCUACGAUCGGUACGGGCCUUGAGAGAGGAAGCCCGGAGAUGGGGACUGAGACACGGCCCCAGGCCCUACGGGGCGCAGCAGGCGCGAAACCUCCGCAAUGCACGAAAGUGCGACGGGGGGAUCCCAAGUGCUCAUGCACAGCAUGGGCUUUUAUCAAGUGUAAACAGCUUGAGGAAUAAGGGCUGGGCAAGUUCGGUGCCAGCAGCCGCGGUAACACCGACGGCCCGAGUGGUGGCCACUUUUAUUGGGCCUAAAGCGUCCGUAGCCGGUCCAGUAAGUCCUUGUUUAAAUCCUGCGGCUUAACCGCAGGACUGGCAGGGAUACUGCUGGACUUGGGACCGGGAGAGGACAAGGGUACUUCAGGGGUAGCGGUGAAAUGUGUUGAUCCUUGAAGGACCACCUAUGGCGAAGGCACUUGUCUGGAACGGGUCCGACGGUGAGGGACGAAAGCCAGGGGCGCGAACCGGAUUAGAUACCCGGGUAGUCCUGGCCGUAAACUUUGCGAACUAGGUGUUAGGUGGGCCCCGUGCCCAUCUAGUGCCGAAGGGAAGCCGUUAAGUUCGCCGCCUGGGGAGUACGGUCGCAAGACUGAAACUUAAAGGAAUUGGCGGGGGAGCACCACAACGGGUGGAGCCUGCGGUUUAAUUGGAUUCAACGCCGGGCAUCUCACCAGGAGCGACAGCAUGAUGACGGUCAGGUUGACGACCUUGCCUGAAGCGCUGAGAGGUGGUGCAUGGCCAUCGUCAGCUCGUACCGCGAGGCGUCCUGUUAAGUCAGGUAACGAGCGAGACCCGUGCCCUAUGUUGCUACUUUUUCCUCCGGGAGAAAGGCACUCAUAGGGGACCGCUGGCGCUAAGUCAGAGGAAGGAGCGGGCAACGAUAGGUCCGCAUGCCCCGAAUCUCCUGGGCUACACGCGGGCUACAAUGGCUAGGACAAUGGGCCGCAACCCUGAAAAGGGACGCAAAUCUCCUAAACCUAGUCGUAGUUCGGAUCGUGGGCUGUAACUCGCCCACGUGAAGCUGGAAUCCGUAGUAAUCGCAGUUCAUAAUACUGCGGUGAAUGUGUCCCUGCUCCUUGCACACACCGCCCGUCACACCACCCGAGUUGGGUUGAAGUGAGGCCUUGGCCUUUGGCUAGGGUCGAACUUGGGCUCAGCGAGGGGGGUG
This 1392-nucleotide ribosomal RNA is filed under the name Methanococcus maripaludis. Its description in RNAcentral is "bacterial SSU rRNA". It matches the Rfam family "Archaeal small subunit ribosomal RNA". The record is from RNAcentral. Lineage: Archaea; Methanobacteriati; Methanobacteriota; Methanococci; Methanococcales; Methanococcaceae.